AACGAACGCUGGCGGCAGGCCUAAAACAUGCAAGUCGAACGAACCUUCGGGUUAGUGGCGCACGGGUGCGUAACGUGUGGGAAUGUGCCUCUGGGUGCGGAACAACGUCGGGAAACUGACGCUAAUACCGCAUAAUAUCUACGGAUCAAAGAUUUAUCGCCCAGAGAUCAGCCCGCGUCUGAUUAGGUAGUUGGUAGGGUAAUGGCCUACCAAGCCGACGAUCAGUAGCUGGUCUGAGAGGAUGAUCAGCCACACUGGAACUGAGACACGGUCCAGACUCCUACGGGAGGCAGCAGUUAGGAAUAUUGGACAAUGGGCGAAAGCCUGAUCCAGCCAUGCCGCGUGAGUGAAGGAGGCCUUAGGGUUGUAAAGCUCUUUCGGCUGUGAAGAUAAUGACAGUAGCAGAAGAAGAAGCCCCGGCUAAAUUCGUGCCAGCCGCCGCAGUAA
This 447-nucleotide ribosomal RNA is filed under the name uncultured bacterium. RNAcentral's name for it is "partial 16S ribosomal RNA". It matches the Rfam family "Bacterial small subunit ribosomal RNA", at positions 29 to 523 of the family's 1533-position model. The record is from RNAcentral.